RNAcentral lists this long non-coding RNA (759 nucleotides) under Zea mays. Its description in RNAcentral is "long non-coding RNA (ZMAY_LNC002597)". The record is from RNAcentral. Lineage: Eukaryota; Viridiplantae; Streptophyta; Magnoliopsida; Poales; Poaceae.
AGACCAUCACGUGGAUGGCAUGCACAAGAUGCUGUAGGAGUAUGCCACAUACAACGGUGCAGAGGCUGAUGAAUUUCUCCUCCUCUUCGUCCAGUGUGUGGAGCCUGUACCGCUCAAGCGGGUGAAGGAUCAACUGGUAGCCGUCGGUGUACACCCAGUAGAGCACGAUGGGCAAGAAGGUAAAUGUGUAUACCCAGUAGAGAAUGAUCGCCAUCACGACAUGAAUUUAGCACAAACAUCUUUCCCAAUCCCAUAAAAAGAUUUGCAAAACAAGAUCCAGGACCAAGCUACGGACCUCUAUGUAGCGUUCGAUGAGCUGCCGCUCGAACAGGAGCCCUGACUUCGUCGACACCACCGGCUCGUUCGGUACCUCGCCCGAGAAUAGGGAUAAGCGACACGGGACGAGUUAGCUCACGAAGCGACAGAUCAGCUGAUCUAGGGUUAGGAGACAGACAUGCGAGGGAGGGAGAGGGGCAUUACCUCUGUUGAGUCGAAUCCGACGGGAAUGCCCAUCAUAUUCAUCAUAUCCAGUUCCUCCGCAUUCACUUAGCCGUCACCCACCGCCGAAGGCCUCGACGUGACUGAGAGUGGCGGCGGCGGUAGCGGUCCCGAUCCGCCGACGGAGACCGGGAUCGGGAGCGCUUCCGCUCGUGCUCGCGGUGGACCUCUCCCAUGAACCGGAUCUGCGGCGCUCGGUCUGGCUCGUCCUCGGAGCCGGUAGCGGCGUCACGGGUGGCGUGGCUGGGAGGUCCAAACUGU